Molecule: ribosomal RNA, 510 nt
Filed under: uncultured bacterium
Lineage: Bacteria
Description: bacterial SSU rRNA
Rfam family: Bacterial small subunit ribosomal RNA
Source: RNAcentral
AUUGAACGCUGGCGGCAUGCCUUACACAUGCAAGUCGAACGGUAACGCGGGGGCAACCUGGCGACGAGUGGCGAACGGGUGAGUAAUGCAUCGGAACGUACCCAGUAGUGGGGGAUAGCCCGGCGAAAGCCGGAUUAAUACCGCAUACGACCUAAGGGUGAAAGCGGGGGACCGUAAGGCCUCGCGCUAUUGGAGCGGCCGAUGUCAGAUUAGGUAGUUGUGGGUAAAGGCCUACCAAGCCUUCGAUCUGUAGCUGGUCUGAGAGGACGACCAGCCACACUGGGACCUGAGACACGGCCCAGACUCCUACGGGAGGCAGUAGUGGGGAAUUUUGGACAAUGGGCGAAAGCCUGAUCCAGCCAUGCCGCGUGCGGGAAGAAGGCCUUCGGGUUGUAAACCGCUUUUGUCAGGGAAGAAACGCUCUGGGCUAAUACCCUGGGGUAAUGACGGUACCUGAAGAAUAAGCACCGGCUAACUACGUGCCAGCAGCCGCCGGUAAAGUCGAUAUCG